UGCAAAAUAAUUAUUAUUUUAAUUUAUUCUUUCUGAAAACUUUUCAGAAGAGAACUCAAGAAAGUUAAAGAGAAUCAUGAAUGUACUUGGAAAAUGCUAGUCUGAUUUGUGAAUGUUUCUGCUCCCGCAGACCUCUGUUUACUGAACUGCAUCCAGCCCCAAUGAGCUUGGAGUGGAAGUGUGCCGGUUCAUUUGCCAGUUCCCAGGGCAGAGUGAAGAAAAUGGGCAUCAAUUUAGAUUGUCUCUGCCAGGAAACAUGUAAUAAUGCUGUCAUUCUUAUGAAAACUCUGCAACAGCAGGCUCAGACAGCUACAAGGUAAAGCACAUGCAUGGAUUUGUCAUCCUGCCUUACUUUUAAACAACAUUAGCUUCUUUGUCAAUUGUGAAAAAAACAAGGGGGAAAACCCCUUGGAGGUGUGCCACACAUUUAUUUGUUCCUGAGCUCUUAUAGCAAUGUUGGCUGCAAAACAAUCUUUUUUUUUUUUUUUUUUUUUUUUUUUCAAAAAAGAAAGUUGAGCAUCUGUGCAACUUGUUCUGAAAAGUCAACAGACAUGUUUGACAAAUGCAUUUUCUUGACACCUGUUGACUUGUGACAUCCAAGGACAGCAGGAUGCAUGUGACCGUGUAAAUCCGAUGUUCAUGACAGGUCAUGAGUGCUACUACCUGUCCCCUCCAGCUCCACUUCUGGUAUGAAGAAGCCAUUCAGUAUGGCUGUGAUGUAUGGACUGGAGGUGCCCUGCUACAGUACUCGUUGUGUAGCAAAUUCCAGUGACUAGGUUGGCAGAAGCCUCCUUUUGCUCUUCUGCAUUAAUUUUAACUAUUGCCUCUCUAUUUAAAUCAGUGACUCCGUAUGACUGGUUCUUUCAUGGACUCUUUACAUAUUUCAGGGUACCUAGAACCCACUGAGCAACUGGAACAAAUCAAAACUCUCCAAGCCUGUCUUCCUUCACCUAUGCUUCCAUAGAAAAUCAUCCUUCAGCACGGCUGCACAGGCAGCUUCUUUAGAUUACAUUUUCCCUGAGCCAGAACAUAAUAAAUGCAAUGAGUCUGACCA
RNAcentral lists this long non-coding RNA (1054 nucleotides) under Anas platyrhynchos platyrhynchos (common mallard). RNAcentral's name for it is "lncRNA (ENSAPLG00000029188.1)". The record is from RNAcentral. Lineage: Eukaryota; Metazoa; Chordata; Aves; Anseriformes; Anatidae.